Long non-coding RNA from Acinonyx jubatus (cheetah), 3814 nucleotides. RefSeq lists it as uncharacterized. The record is from RefSeq and is a predicted model, not a curated record. The transcript has 4 exons. Lineage: Eukaryota; Metazoa; Chordata; Mammalia; Carnivora; Felidae.
CGGCUCCCCGCCCCGGGCGCCCGCACGGUAGCCGCCUGCGGCGGGACGCAGUGGACGGGGAAGAUGUGGUGUUUGCAAAGCCGGGCGUUCCAGAGACCAAGUGCUGAGCAAACACUCAUGUUUCUGAGACUCAGACCAGGAAAGCUUUACAAAACACGGAAAGGGGCAUCCAGACUUUACCAGAGCCAGCCUCCCCUCAGGUGUAAGUUCGCGAGGGUAACAGAAUGGCCGGCAUCCACUGAGCCUCUGCCACUACAUUUAGAAAACCUAUAAAGUGGAGCUUACUUAAUAGAAUGCCAGGAAAAUUCCCCAAAGAUGGAGAAACUGGUAACUCAGGUCAGGAAAUGGCAGAACGAGGAUUUGAACCCACAUCUAUCUGUCUACCCAGCCUACAAUUUUUCCAUUCUGCUGAAAGCUGGGAGGAGCCUUAGGCAGUGUCUCAUCCGCUGGUUUUCAAACCGGAUUCUAAGGAACGCGAGGCUCUCCAGGAAGUGCUUUAGGAAUCUUUGGGGAAGAACUGGGACAGAGGACAUGUGUUGGGAGGCCAGAACAAUGACCUAUCAGCAAUCUAACCUCAGAGACUAAAGCAAGAAGGAAGACACAACUACAUGCAUGAAUAUACAACUGUUUUUAUGUAUGUACAUAUUAUGAAGCUAUGCCACAGAGGAAGAAAAUAGAGAUAACUAUAUAAAAUAAGAAGUUGCAAGAAACGAUCAACAAUGAAUCUGGCAAUGGGUGCUCUGUGCCACUGAUUCUGAAAUCUCUCCUUUUGAAGUCACUUUAAUGAGCCCAAGACUGACCAUUUUCAUUAUCUCUAGUUUAUACACUCGGCUGAUGGAACUCUGAUUAGGAAAAUUUCUCUUUUUCUUCACUUUCUUUUAUCACCAAACACCCUGAAAAUGAUAAGAGAGCAGUGUGUCCUGAAGCAUGGGGCUCUCCCUUCCCUCUGAAAUUAUUUCUAUUUCAUCUGUGUUUUUUUUUUUAAACUACUCCUUACAAAAGAACAAUAGAAGGACCUAAAUUUCUGUCUUAGCACUAAAUGCAUCUCAGUGCUGCGGAAACAUUUCAUUUUCUAGCGAUUUCAGGGUCUGUAUAUUCCCUGCUGUUAUAGUCUUUAUCCCAAUAAAAAGAAAGGAAAAAAAGGACACAAGAAAGGAAAGAAGAAACCCUACAUGACAAGAACAUUAAACCCCAAGGGUGGUUCAUUUCAAUGCUGAAGUCUUUCUUCAGUGCUCCAGGGACGCUGAUGUCAACGUCUUAAUAAGGGAAGUAAAGCGGUCUAUACGCCUCAGAGCACGUGCACUCAAACCGGAAAAUUGGUGUGAAAGGGAGACAGCCAGCCCUGCCUUGGACCAAUGGCAGCCACAAAGUAAGGGGCCUCUUCUGGUGAGGACCACAUGACACCAUUUGCAGAGGGCAGACUUAAUGUUGUCACCAUUAGGGCUGGAAGAAAACACCUUUGAAGAAAUAUUUGUUUUAUCCCCCUCCCCCAAAUCUUGAAAUCAUCUCAUACAUAUGUUGGAAAUGAUUCUACUUGAAUUUAAUUAAAUUCUAUUUUUAUAACGUUGAAAUAACCUUGCACUGCAAAUUGAAACGACAUUGCUGUAACCUAGAGCGAUUUUGCUGUCGUGAGAACUGCUAUGUCAGGCAUUACAUUUCAAUUUGGAGUAUCAUGAAUUAUUUCUACAUAUAAACUAAUAAAUUAUACAAUACGAUGUGUCAGCAAUUCGGCCCCAUUUGCAUUUUGAUAAACGGAAAAGCAAAUGGAAAUCUGAGAGCCAUUAGUUUGUCUGAAUUUUUAAAUAUUCUGUAAGUAAUAUUUAAUGAUAUAAAAUUUUUAUUAUCCCAUUUUUUUGCUUUGCUUCACAUUGUUUAGGCUUUGAGAUUCCUAGCGAUGAUUUGCCAAAAUAAAAGCAUGAAAAUAAAAUGGAGAGAUUUAUCCACAUUUUAAAGUGUAUAUUUCCUAUAAGGAUACUCCCCCCCCCCCUUUGUUUUCUUUUCUAUUAUGAAAUUUGCCUGAAUAAAGGGCCCAGAAGUUUAGGAAUGGCUCAUUUAGGUUCAGACUUGUAUGUGGAUUUCUCCUUGGGGGUCAUCAUCAUAGUUCUCACUCAUUAAUGGCAAGCUCUUAAAAACUAACAACUUGUAUAUUUUUGGAUUGACAGAAGAUCUUCAACGAUCUAGUUCAAAUAAACAUUUGAAAUCAGUUCUAUACACUUAUGAAAGUCAACAUGAAUACAUUAACCUGCAUUCUUUCAGUUGCGAGUGACAGAAACAAACUCAAACCGACAUUAGCAUCAAAUGAUAACUGACAUUUACACUUUUUUUCUUUUGAUCACUGUGAAGGCCAGAGGUUAAACUGGCUUUAUGGAUGGCAGGCUGUAGAAACUUUCUGUCGUCCGCUUUUUUCUUCUUUUUUGAUAAGUGUAUUGGUUCUAAUCUUAGAUUUUCCCCAGUGGUGGCAGAAGAGGCCAUUAGCAACUCUUGGCUCAUGUCUUAAAACCUUAGCAAUCUCAGGAGAAAGCCUCUUUGCCAACAUUGCCAGCCAUUUAUUCUGACUGGGAUAAUUUGGGACAUAUGGCAGUCCCUGAAUCAGUCACCAUGUCCAGAGAAAUGGAAUAUUCUAAUUAGCCAAGUCUGGGACACGUCCUCCACUCUGAAGGUAGGACAGAGGCUCAGCUCCAUCUGAACCAUGAAGACUGGGAUAGAGGAGAAAAAAAAUUCUAAUGUAUAAUACAAAAGAUUACAUCACUGAGUUGGAUGGUCAGUGCCUAUUAUCAUCUCUAGGAUCAGAUUACUAGUGUAAAAAAAAGAGAGAGAAAGUGGACUAGGAUCUGGGCACCUAGGUGGCUCCGUCUGUUAAGUGCUCCAUUCUUGGUUUUGGCUCAGGUCACCAUCUCAUGGUUUGUGAGUUUGAGCCCCUUAUCGGGCUCCGCACUGCCCAUGAGGAGUCUGCUUGGGAUUCCCUCUCUCCCAACUUCUCUGCCCCUCACCUGCUCAUGCUCUCUCUCAAAAUAAAUGAAUAAACUUAAAAAAAAAAAAGGAAAGAUGGAGAAACGGGAACCCUCUUGCACUGUUGGUGGGAAUGCAAAUUGGUGCAGCCACUCUGGAAAACAGUGUGGAGGUUCCUCAAAAAAUUAAAAAUAGACCUACCCUAUAACCCAGCAAUAGCACUGCUAGGAAUUGACCCAAGGGAUACAGGAGUACUGAUGCAUAGGGGCACUUGUACCCCGAUGUUUAUAGCAGCACUCUCAACAAUAGCCAAAUUAUGGAAAGAGCCCAAAUGUCCAUCAACUGAUGAAUGGAUAAAGAAAUUGUGGUUUAUAUACACAAUGGAGUACUACGUGGCAAUGAGGAAGAAUGAAAUAUGGCCCUUUGUAGCAACAUGGAUGGAACUGGAGAGUGUUAUGCCAAGUGAAAUAAGCCAUACAGAGAAAGACAGAUACCAUAUGGUUUCACUCUUAUGUGGAUCCUGAGAAACUUAACAGAAACCCAUGGGGGAGGGGAAGAAAAAAAAAAGAGGUUAGAGUGGAAGACAGCCAAAGCAUAAGAGACUCUUAAAAACUGAGAACAGGGGCGCCUGGGUGGCGCAGUCGGUUAAGCGUCCGACUUCAGCCAGGUCACGAUCUCGCGGUCUGGGAGUUCGAGCCCCGCGUCAGGCUCUGGGCUGAUGGCUCAGAGCCUGGAGCCUGUUUCCGAUUCUGUGUCUCCCUCUCUCUCUGCCCCUCCCCUGUUCAUGCUCUGUCUCUCUCUGUCCCAGAAAUAAAUAAACGUUGAAAAAAAAAAAUAAAAAAAAACAAAACUGAGAACAAACUGA